This 253-nucleotide ribosomal RNA is filed under the name uncultured bacterium. RNAcentral's name for it is "partial 16S ribosomal RNA". It matches the Rfam family "Bacterial small subunit ribosomal RNA", at positions 524 to 776 of the family's 1533-position model. The record is from RNAcentral.
UACGGAGGGUGCAAGCGUUAAUCGGAAUUACUGGGCGUAAAGCGUGCGUAGGCGGUUCGUUAAGUCUGUUGUGAAAGCCCCGGGCUCAACCUGGGAAUGGCAAUGGAUACUGGCGAGCUAGAGUGUGUCAGAGGAUGGUGGAAUUCCCGGUGUAGCGGUGAAAUGCGUAGAUAUCUGGAGGAAUACCGGUGGCGAAGGCGGCAUCCUGGACCGGCAUUGACGCUGAGGAGCGAAAGCUAGGGGAGCAAACGGG